This 491-nucleotide ribosomal RNA is filed under the name uncultured bacterium. RNAcentral describes it as "bacterial SSU rRNA". It matches the Rfam family "Bacterial small subunit ribosomal RNA", at positions 29 to 521 of the family's 1533-position model. The record is from RNAcentral.
AACUAACGCUGGCGGCGUGCCUAACACAUGCAAGUCGUACGAGAAAGCCGGCUUCGGCUGGUGAGUAAAGUGGCGCACGGGUGAGUAACGCGUGGAUAAUCUGCCCUUAAGUGUGGAAUAACGUACCGAAAGGUGCGCUAAUACCGCAUAAUGCCUGGCAACACAAGUUGUCCGGCCAAAGAAGGCCUCUGUUUACAAGCUUUCGCUUCAGGAUGAGUCCGCGUACCAUUAGCUUGUUGGUGGGGUAAAGGCCUACCAAGGCGACGAUCGAUAGCUGGUCUGAGAGGAUGAUCAGCCACACUGGGACUGAGACACGGCCCAGACUCCUACGGGAGGCAGCAGUGGGGAAUAUUGGACAAUGGGCGCAAGCCUGAUCCAGCAAUGCCGCGUGUGUGAAGAAGGUCUUCGGAUUGUAAAGCACUUUCGACGGGGACGAUGAUGACGGUACCCGUAGAAGAAGCCCCGGCUAACUUCGUGCCAGCAGCCGCGGU